GUGGGGAAUCUUCCGCAAUGGACGAAAGUCUGACGGAGCGACGCCGCGUGAGUGAAGAAGGCCUUCGGGUCGUAAAGCUCUGUCAUCAGGGACGAACGGCCGGUGGAGUGGAAAGCCACCGGAUUGACGGUACCUGAGAAGGAAGCCACGGCUAACUACGUGCCAGCAGCCGCGGUAAUACGUAGGUGGCAAGCGUUGUCCGGAAUUAUUGGGCGUAAAGCGCGCGCAGGUGGGAUCUUAAGUCCAUUUUUAAAGUUCGGAGCUCAACUCCGUGAGGGGAUGGAAACUGGGAUUCUUGAGUACCGGAGAGGAAAGCGGAAUUCCCCGUGUAGCGGUGAAAUGCGUAGAUAUGGGGAGGAACACCAGUGGCGAAGGCGGCUUUCUGGACGGUGUCUGACACUGAGGCGCGAAAGCCAGGGGAGCGAACGGGAUUAGAAACCCGAGUAGUCC
RNAcentral lists this ribosomal RNA (450 nucleotides) under uncultured bacterium. RNAcentral describes it as "partial 16S ribosomal RNA". It matches the Rfam family "Bacterial small subunit ribosomal RNA", at positions 354 to 796 of the family's 1533-position model. The record is from RNAcentral.